UUUUCAUUUCCAUUCUCUUUUGCACAUCACUUUUAUAUAUUAUCUUUUGCAAGUUUUCAUUUCAUUUCGUGAGUUCUUAUUUUAGUCUGAUAUCCAACAUUUGGUAUCAGAGCGGUUGAGAAACAAGGUUGAAGAGGGUGUUGCCGGUUUGAGAGUCGGUGGCAGAAAGUUGGCAGCCACUAGGGCUUAAUCGAAUGAAGGGCUGAUCAAUGUUGUGAUCAGAAGAAAGACGCAAGAAGCAGUGAUUGAAGUUUAGAUUGAGAAAGAAUUGAAGCAACAACAGUACCGAUCGCGGCUUGGUGAUCGGAAGCAAGAAAAUGGGUUUUUAACCCAAAGAAAGAAAGGGGAGUAGCACUCUAACUGCAGAGAAAGAAAAGAACAAGAAAGUAGACGAUUUCAUGUGAGAAAUCGCAAGAAAGAAAGAAGAAAGAAGUGCUGAUUGAAAUCAGCGAAGAAAGAACGAAGAAAAGAAAGAAAGUUGGGUUCAAAUCUUUGAAUCCUUAAGAAAGAAAGAAAGAAAGAAAGAAGAGGCGCCACAAGAAAGAAGAAAGUAGGAAAGAGGUAGGCGUCGCUUAGCAAGAAAGAAAGGCCUCGCAAGAAAGAAAGAAAGAGACCGGUGUAUGAAGAAAGAAAGAAACAGAAAGCAUCGGCUAGAAAGAAGAAAGUAUGAGCGUCGAUUAGAAAGAAAGAAUGAAAUUGACUGCCCGAAGAAAGAAAUAAAGAUAAAUCAAGAACUCGAAUAGCAAGAAUGGAUCUACGAGUUCUACGGGUCAUGUGUGGCUCGUAGCAAGAAGAAAGAUUGAACCUUUAUGGUUCAAGUAGCAAGAGAAUCCAUUGAAGUAAGCAUGUGAAAGGAAAAAGUAAAAUUGUUGCUGAGUUCAAGAAAGAAAGGCUGGUCUCAUUUGAAGUUGUCUCAUAAAGUCAACAAUUUGAUGUUGAGGUAUUUUGAGUAGUAGCAAUGAGAUGGUAUUAUUCAGGAUUUUUUUUCUUCAUGCUCAACACAUGGGAGAAGGGCAAUACCUGGCAGAAGAAGGAUUUCAAAGUGAAGGUGAAUUAGAAAGAAAAGUUUAGUAAGAUAUCGAUGAAAGAUUCUAGCAAGAAAAACAGAAAAACACGAGCAAGAGACGAGUCGGAUCGUGAAGUGAUCAAGAAAGAAGCAAGUGAUUCAGCAAGGCUUGUAGCAAAGAAUAACAAAGAACUAGAUCAAGAUUAAGGGGGUGAAUGUUAGAAUUAAUCUUGAUUUUAGUUUUAUUAUUUAGUAUUUUCGUUGUUAGUUGAUUGCAUGGAAUAAGCUUGUCUUCGAAGGUUCAAGAGGAUGUUGUAGA
Molecule: long non-coding RNA, 1325 nt
Filed under: Helianthus annuus (common sunflower)
Lineage: Eukaryota; Viridiplantae; Streptophyta; Magnoliopsida; Asterales; Asteraceae
Description: hypothetical non coding rna
Source: RNAcentral